UUUAACUGAAGAGUUUGAUCAUGGCUCAGAUUGAACGCUGGCGGCAGGCUUAACACAUGCAAGUCGAGCGGGGGAAGGUAGCUUGCUACUGGACCUAGCGGCGGACGGGUGAGUAAUGCUUAGGAAUCUGCCUAUUAGUGGGGGA
RNAcentral lists this ribosomal RNA (145 nucleotides) under Acinetobacter baumannii. RNAcentral's name for it is "partial 16S ribosomal RNA". It matches the Rfam family "Bacterial small subunit ribosomal RNA", at positions 1 to 143 of the family's 1533-position model. Lineage: Bacteria; Pseudomonadati; Pseudomonadota; Gammaproteobacteria; Moraxellales; Moraxellaceae. The record is from RNAcentral.